Molecule: ribosomal RNA, 467 nt
Filed under: uncultured bacterium
Lineage: Bacteria
Description: partial 16S ribosomal RNA
Rfam family: Bacterial small subunit ribosomal RNA
Source: RNAcentral
GACGAACGCUGGCGGCGUGCUUAACACAUGCAAGUCGAACGAUGAAGCCCAGCUUGCUGGGUGGAAGAGUGGCGAACGGGUGAGUAACACGUGAGUAACCUGCCCUGAACUCUGGGAUAAGCACUGGAAACGGUGUCUAAUACUGGAUACGACCUAUCACCGCAUGGUGUGUGGGUGGAAAGAUUUAUCGGUUCUGGAUGGACUCGCGGCCUAUCAGCUAGAUGGUGAGGUAAUGGCUCACCAUGGCGACGACGGGUAGCCGGCCUGAGAGGGUGACCGGCCACACUGGGACUGAGACACGGCCCAGACUCCCACGGGAGGCAGCAGUGGGGAAUAUUGCACAAUGGGCGCAAGCCUGAUGCAGCAACGCCGCGUGAGGGAUGACGGCCUUCGGGUUGUAAACCUCUUUUAGUAGGGAAGAAGCGAAAGUGACGGUACCUGCAGAAAAAGCACCGGCUAACUACGUG